This 472-nucleotide ribosomal RNA is filed under the name uncultured bacterium. Its description in RNAcentral is "bacterial SSU rRNA". It matches the Rfam family "Bacterial small subunit ribosomal RNA", at positions 26 to 518 of the family's 1533-position model. The record is from RNAcentral.
AGGACGAACGCUGGCGGCGUGCUUCAUACAUGCAAGUCGAACGAUAAGGUCUCUUCGGAGAUACAUAAGUGGCGGACGGGUGAGUAAAAUGUAGAGAAUCUGCCCUAGAGAGUGGGACAACAGAGGGAAACUUCUGCUAAUACCGCAUAUGAGCGUAGCUGAGAUGCUAUUCUUGAAAACUCCGGUGCUCUAGGAUGAGUCUGCAUCUGAUUAGCUAGUUGGGGGUGUAAUGGACCACCAAGGCGACGAUCAGUAGCUGGUUUGAGAGGAUGAUCAGCCACAAUGGGACUGAGACACGGCCCAUACUCCUACGGGAGGCAGCAGUAGGGAAUUUUGCGCAAUGGGGGGAACCCUGACGCCAGCAACGCCGCGUGACCGAUGAAGCCCUUCGGGGUGUAAAGGUCUGUCAGUGGGGACGAAGAAUGACGGUACCCACAGAGGAAGCAUCGGCUAACUCCGUGCCAGCCGCGGC